AUUCUAUUAGUAUAUAAGUAUAUUUAACUUCCAAUUAAAAGGAUUAAUUUG
RNAcentral lists this transfer RNA (51 nucleotides) under Kikihia peninsularis. RNAcentral describes it as "tRNA-Gly". Lineage: Eukaryota; Metazoa; Arthropoda; Insecta; Hemiptera; Cicadidae. The record is from RNAcentral.